AAUAAUAUGAUAUACCAAACAUAAUUAUUUUUGAAGUCAAAACAUGCAAAAGAAAUAUAGUAAACGAUCGACAAGAGAUAACAACACUUUACUCAUAAAUAAAACACCUUUUAUUCAUCAUCUAAUGUCAAUUACACUUUACAAAUUUUGAGGUUAUCUAACUACUAAAUCUAAUAUUAUCCUUCAGCCCUAUGCUCCGAGCAUGCUGGAGAUGCUUAACUCGAGUCAGUCCCUUCGUGAGGGGAUCUGCUGGAUUCUCAUCCGAUGAUACCCUCUUUGCCACCAGGAGUCCUUCUUCUAUUCAAUGUUUGAUGAAAUGGUAUUUUCUGUCAAUGUGUCUGGAUCUCCCGUGAUCCCUUGGUUCCUUGGCUAAGGCAACUGCACUUUCACUAUCAUAGAAAAUUUACAUUGGCUCCUUAAUGGCUGGUACAACUCCAAGGUCUCCAAUGAAUUUCUUUAGCCAUAUCGCCUCCUUAAUGGCUGGUACAGACUAUAAAUACAAUGGGAUUAAAAUACUCUGACCAAGAUUUUAUACUUUUAAAUUAUAAAAUAUUUAAGUAAGUAUACGUGCCUGCAUUCAUAAUAAAAUCAGUGUCACAAUGACAAGAACAAAAGUAUUACGAUUGCUGGAUAUCACAAGUAAGCUUGGGGAUGUAUGGUCAGUCUUGGGAGUGGCAUAGCCUGAUCAACUAUGUUGGUCUGAGGAGUGAUUAGCAUGUGCCCAAGAAUGGUUGUGAUGUGGCAAAAAGUCUAAAAACUUACCAACACCACCACUAAGAAAUACCAUAGGGGUAUUUGGUCUUACUGUAAUUACUUAUUUGAGAACUAAAUAGAUCUUUAUUAAUAUGUCAAUAGUUGUUUAGUGGAUACACUAAGUUUAUAUGUACUAUGAUGUCAUAGACUUAGAAUAUGUGAAUCUUUGCCUUAUGUCCUGUCCUCGUUGGGUUGGGGGCUUAGGGUUAGGGUCACUUAUUCGAAGGUCUAUCCUAUCCUAACUACAUAUAACUGGUAUGCACUAAACAAGUAUUGAAGCAACUGAUAAAGGUCAUCUUAUAAUUAUCUUAGUUAGUUCGUCUAUUUAGUUAUUUCUUAUAUCCUUUUUUAUCGCAUAGAUAUCAUGGUUGGAUUCCAUCCCCAUGACAACUCAUACUACCCUAACCACGGCAAUGCUGGAUGGCUCAGAGAGGAGCCAGAGAAUGAUCACCCAAUCCCUUCGAAUGAUCACUCAACUAAAUACUUUUCUAAUAGUUCUCGUCGCCGAUAGAAUCUCAUUGACUCCUCCUUCGGAUAUAACCUAGUUUAUGUAAAACUCUGGUCUAAUUUCCUAUCAUUGUGAACCUUGGGCCUAUUAGGUCUUGAUUUAGUCAUUGUACUGUCAAAACUUUCCCAUCAAUGGUUGAUGUAAGGCCUACCCCUAGGCCACUUUUCUAGAACAUGUUACAUCUAUAAGUCCAGUAUUUUUGACAGAUACCAAAUCGUAUGGACAUUAUUGUCCAAAUGCUUUCACCUUUCGAUACUAGAUCCUCAUUCAAACGUGUUAUUAAAUUGUGUUGUUGGACUAUGGAGAGUUAGUCUAUGAGUCACUCUCCUUAUUCAUUUUUCUUACCAUGUUGUCAUCUUUUAUUUGUAUAGUCAAAAGAUGCCGCCUCGCAGAAAUCCAAGGCGUAACACUAAUAACGAAACACCAAUGCCACCACCUCCUCCACCGCCUCAACCACCUCCUCCUUUUGACGCUGCCAUGUACCAAGUAGCCUUCAUGGCUGCAAUAGCAGUUUCCGUGUCAGCCAUCAAUGCUCCUGUCCCUAGUGGAUCGGGAACGAGUGCACCUCCUUCUCACCAUGGCGAGAGCCAUGGGUAUCCCAGGGAAUGCACCUAAAAGGAAUUUACAAAUGCUAAACCCCGAAACUUCAAUGGAACUGGUGGAGUUAUGGUCCUAAGGCAGUGGAUUGAAAAGAUAGAAGCAGUCUUUGAGAUCUGCGCCUGCCCGGAGGGCAACAAGGUCAAGUUUGCUACUUGUACCUUUUCUGACAGAGCGUUAACUUGGUGGAAUGGCCAUGUUAAGUCCCUGACUAUAAUAGUGGCAAAUUUGAUAAGUUGGGAAAACUUGAAUAUCAUGUUGAUGAGAGAGUACUGUCCCCGAGGGGAAGUUCAAAAGAUCAAACAAGAACUUUGGAAUCUGGAAAUGGUUGGUACCGAUAUAUCAACCUAUACGGGGAGAUUCUGUGAUCUGGCAAACCUGUGCCCGAAUAUGGUUGCUCCUGAGAGCAAGAAAUUAGAGAGGUAUAUUUGGGGAUUGUCUCCCCAAAUUCAGUCAAGUGUGUUAGCAUAAGGCCCGAUACGUUCGAUAGUGCCAAAGAACUAGCACAAUCUCUGAUUGACCACGGAAACCAUCGGAACUCAAAAAUUUCUGUACAAGAUCAACAAGAAGGAAAAAACAACAAGAACAAGUGGAAAGACGAGUCCUCACAAAGAUCCUCAAGGAAACAACAACAAGUUACAGUCAAUGCUACUACAGUACCUACGAUAGUCGCUACUAACCCAUUACCGGCAAAGCCAUACGUGGGUAAUCUCCCAAAGUGCAACAAAUGCAACUAUCACCACCAUGGACCUUGUCGAGAGAUGCAGUGCUUAAACUACAACAAAAAGGGACACACCUUACGUUAUUGCAAGAGUCCAGCAAGACCGAUCAACCAAGUACCCAACGCUGGUAUGAGCCAGGCUUGCUACGAUUGUGGCAAAGUGGGUCACUACAAAAGAAACUGCCCAGAGGCAGCGAAUGCUAGCACAGACGGAAGGAUGCUAACGAUCACCGCCGCCGGAGAGACUACUCCGGACCCACGUUAAAGUAAUUAAGGCGUUACGUUGUAACAGACUUAUAAACUGUUUAGAACUAGUGCAACUAGAGUCUUAUCUUUUGCGAGAUCCCGUCAAUUAAGGGAUCCUCGUGCUGCGUAUACUUGCCUAUUCUAGUAUACUUUGUUCGUAGCAGUAUUCCUGUAGUUACUCUAAGGUACUGUAACCCUGAUAAAAUUUGCACCGUUGUAUUUUGUCUGAACGCCUUAUGUUCAAAUCUAAUAUCUUUAGUUUCCAUAUGAUUCCGACAUUAUGAUACAACUAGAGUCCAUUCGAUCCUCACGAUGCCAGGUUCGUGCGUAAAUCUUUUUCCCGAAAUCAUCCUUCUAGCGAAACUGUCCCUUUUAGAACUUUGAAGUACUCAUGCGUAGAGUACCUCAUAUUUCUAAUCCUUUCCAAAGGAACCUCAGCAAACUUCCCUGAAGUAUCACUCGUACAGUACAUCAAGUUCAAAUCCAAAGAUCAGUACGGUUGAUCUAUCGCGGAAUAAUGUAUACACAGGGGUGGUAUAUAAUCAAGGUUCUACAGAUUUAGAAUUAAUGAUUCCCCUUUAACUUCUUUUCCUCGUCGGGAUGAGAGCGUAAAGAAGAAUCAUUUAUUCGACUAUCUUUUCAAUCUUAAUUAUUUACGACUCGUAUAUAUGAGACUUUGAUUGAUGAACCAUGUAUGAAUUCUUAAUGUGAACUUCAGGACGGAGACUACCCAAGACUACGAGUAAUCGCAUCAUCAUGCGAACAAACUUAGAACCCAGUACGACUCCUGUAACCAGAAUCGGCCCUGUAACUCAUAAACUCAAUCUACUUCGUGGGCUUAGAAACGUACAUUCUACCCUUCACGUCUCGAACUUGUAAAAAGUAUCGAUCCGAAGAGACUCUUGAAAUCCCACUCGAAGAGAUCGAGUCCCACAAGAGCCUCACCUGCGUGGAAGAAUCGUAGUGACCAUGGACCGAGAGGUCAUGCAAACGAUUCAUAGUCGUUUCCCUUUAGUGAAGGUUUGCUGAGAUGCCAACAAGGGACCCGAAUUCACUUGGGAGCGCGAGAAUCAAUCGAUUAGGAAGUAUCCCCACUUCUUGGCUCGAUUAUUCAUGCCUACUUCCUUACCUAAAUUCUAAUUUCGUGACGAAAUUCCUUCUAACGGGGGGAUGAUGUGACAACCCGAAAUUUCUAUUCUGUACAACCCUUCAAUUCAAUAGAAGUCAGAAAAUUUGCUGCUAAGUUUCAAACUUUUUGGAACAAGUUUGAGUAAUUUAGGGUAUACACUUUGGGUGAUAUCAGGAGAGAGAAUGCCCUAAUAUUUAUUGUGCAACACUGUUAUUCCAGAACUCCAAGAAAUUUGAGUUUACUACCAGAAUAAUAUUUUUAGCCAAAAACCCUAAAUUUGGGCGUGUNUUUAGUCAAAGAUAUAUAUAUAUAUAUAUAUAUAUAUAUAUAUAUAUGAAUUAGUCAUUAUUUACAUUUUCAAAAUCUCAAGAUCCAAACCCAUUUCUCUCUCAAGUAUCAUCCAAAAGUUUUUCAAGAUCUUCAAUCUAGUAAGUGUUUCUAGCCUUCUUAAGUUGUUAUAUGACUUAAUCUAGUGUUUUAACACACUUCUAACCGUGAAAUCAUUCAAAAAGGGUCAAUCUUCAAUUUACACCAAGAACAACAAGAACACACACUUGUGUUCUUGGCCUUUUGGACCUUUUCGAGCUUCUACCUUGUAAGUGCUUCUAUCCUAGAGUCAUACAAUCUAUGUUACACUUCGAUACCUCAAGAAAUCAUCCAAGAACACCAAGAUCAAAGGUGUUUACGGUCCAAGAACAUCUUGGACCGUAAACCCUAUUUAGGGUACCAAUGUGUGCUCUAGCUUAUCCUAAGCCUUGGUAAUUAGUUUAGACCCCUUCCUUGAUGUGUUUACCACACAAAAAUCACCAAAAUAUCUCAUUUAUAUGUGUUUACGGUUUGGGGAUCUCCCAAAACCGUAAACACCCCAAAAUGUGUUAUGAUGACCCAUAUUCCUUCCUUAUGCCUAGAAUAAAACCUAGACUUUUACCUUGAAGUGUUUAGGACUUGAAAACAUCAAAAUAACAUAGUCCAUAGGAGUUUACAGCAGCAAACACAUGGAGAAAUGGGUCAUGGGCCGUAAACUCCAUUUAGGAGUGAAUUGUUGCCCUAAUCACUUCCUAAGGCUUAGACUUGGAGUCAGGAUGCUUCAAAAUUUCUUUUAGGACUUCAAAUCAACAAAUGGUCAAAAGGUUAUGAGCUUACGGCUGUAAACUCAAGGGUUUACGACCGUAAACUCAAUGAGUUAUGGUCUUAAAGGCGUAAACUCAUGAAAGGGGUUCUUUUGAACCCUAAACUCAAUGGUCUUGUCCUACAACACUUAGAUGCACUCCUUAGCACUUAUAACACUUAUAUAAAGUGUUUAUCAUGUCCUAGGAUGUCUUAACUUUGUUAAUUAGUUGUUUAAAGACUAAUUGGAUACAUAUAUAUACUACUAUAUGUUAACUAGGAUCCUUGUGUGUGUACAAGUCUUCACUUGACACUUAGCAUCCUAUGUCAGUCAAUUCAUCCAAACCAUCAACUACAGGUGAGUUCAUACCCCUUAAUCAAUGUUUUAAAUGUUUUUAAAUGCUUUUAUGGGGGGAAUACAAGUUGAAUCAUGCUAGUUAUUAUAUCAAUCACAUGUGAUUAAUAACUAACAUGCAAAUGGAUUUACUAUAUGUUAGCUGUUUUACAAAACAGAUUUCUUCCAAUGUUUCAUUUAAACGUUUUUAUAUGUUUAAAACUCUUUCUCAAACUGCUUUAUACACUGUAUGUUUCUUUUCAAACUCUAUUACAAAUGUAUUUCAAACAAAGGUUUUCUUUAUACUUAAACUGUUUAUUCAAACAAAAUACUUUCAAACCGUUUUAUAAAUUGACAUCAAGUCGAUCUUUUCUUAGAUAUAAAUCUUAUUCAAAGGUUUUACAAAACUCCUUUUAUGCUUUUAUAUUAUCAAAUGCAUGCCCAUAUAUGUAUAGUUAUAUAAGUAAUGUUUAAAGGACUUAGGAAGGCUAACUCACCCUAUUUCCUUUUCCUCGUUGGGAUGUGGCUACGGGGUAUCGGUUAUCCGUCUGAAUGUCGUCUAAGUGUUAGUUAUAUAUCAUGUAUACAUAUGUAGACAUAAAAGUGCCCUCAUUCAGUUCAAUACCUUUGGCUAGCAAAGGUAUACCUUCGUUGAUACUUAUACAUUACUAGUAACUAUUAUAGGUAUAGUUAGGAGAUACUACUUGCUAUUCCUAUUACAAGGAAUUACACCAGAGUCAGUUCAUACAUGAGUCUAUACUAGAUGCUAUAUGAAGAGAUACACUACAUGGAUACACUUACUUGAAUACACUUACAUGGAUACCUUUACAUAGAUACCUAGUUAAAAGCAUGUGUGUAUAUGUAUAGUUAUAUAAGUAAUGUUUAAAGGACUUAGGAAGGCUAACCUGCUUUAUUUCCUUUUCCUCGUUGGGAUGUGGUCUGUUAGGGUAUCGGGUAUCUGUCUGAAGGUUGUUUAAAUAUUUAGUUAUAUAUCAUCUGUACAUAUAUGGACACAAUAGUUCUGGUUAGUCAGUUCAAUACCUUUGGGUAACAAAGGUAUACGUUCAUAUAUCCCUAGUAAGCUAUUAUAGGUAUAGUUUGGGCUUAUAUAUGAUUUGGUAACAAAUAUGGAUUUCGACCUAGCGAUUCGUUGCGAAAGUCACCAUUAGUUCCAAAUGUAGAAUAGGGACUACCAAUCAUAUUAUUACUAAGACUACUUACUAACUAGACGGGACUAACCAUUCCGGCACCCAACUGUUAGCAACAGAGGUAAUGAACAUCUACGGAUGCCUACAGUUAAUACUUAUACUAGGGUACCUUUACGGGACUAACCAUUCCUACAACUUGUUGUUAGCUACAAAGGAUAAUGAUCAUCUACGGACGUUCAAGGUUAAUACCAUUUCGGCAGUCGCGAUGUCGGGUUGAUCCUAAUACAAAAGGAUAACACUUACAUGGAUUUAUUUUCCUAUUACUUUUAUUUUGUGAUACAUUCUCAUAAACGACGAGGUAGACUAUAUAUAUUGUUAAUAGUAGUCAUACAAGGGAAAAACCAUCUUCGUUACUUACAAAACAGUCUAGUCUUGGUAGAAGACUACUCUUUAUACUAAUAGAAAUCAUAGGGAUUUGCUAGAGUAUUCAAACGUUUUCAAACUACUUUCAAACAGUUCUUACUUAUACGAACUUUUUCCAAAUGUUCACAAGUCUUUACUUUCCAGUUUUACAAAUCUAAGACACAUUAAUACUUAUGAAUUCACCAGCUUUAUUGCUGAUACUCGCUUUCAAAAUACUUGUAUUCUCAGGUCACAAAUAGACAGGUACGACAACCAGGUUUUGUGAAGACGGAGAAAUCAAGACUCCUAUUUUAUUUUGAUUGUUCAUUAUGUUGGCUUAUGCUAUGAAAGAACACACUUGUAACUAAAAUUAUACUAUUAAUGCAAUGUAUGAUGUUGUUGCUUGUUUACUACUUUGCAUUGUUAUGAUACAUUACAUGACGUCCUCCGCCCCAGAACGUUUCCAUCGUUCCGGUUUUGGUGUGUGACAAUGAGAGGUCAUGGAGCACGACCCAUCGUUCUGUUACAAUAGAUAAAGGAAAGUAAUUAUCCUAAGAAGAAGAAGGAGUCCUUAAUAAGGAUUUAUUUUGUAACUUGAAGGUUACGAUUGAAAGUACAACAUGGUAACAAAAGCAUAUGCAAGAUUGAGCAUCGUCUGCAGUCAAGAAGCGCUAGAGUUAAAUACUCUUUCGAGGAAACAUAGAAGUUACGGUUAUUACCUAGGAUGAAGAAAUAAUGUGUGGAAUCAUUAUGCAAGUCCCAUUUUGUUAAUGAUUCCGGGACGUAAUCAUCCUAAGGGGGAGAUAAUUGUAACGCCCGUAGAUCAGGGCUAGUCAAUUUAGAGACGUUAAGCGUAAAAAAAAAUGACUUUUUGAUAGAAGAUUAUUUAGAAUGAAUAAUCUUAACUAAGUUGUAUAUGUUACAAGGAUUCCGUACAUAUAAAGAACAUUGAAAUCCGAGUUAUAACGAAGAAGUUAUGAUCUGUCGAAGUUUCGCGACAGAACUAGGACAACGCUGAAUGACGUAAAAAGUGAAUUUACGUUAGAGUGAUAUUUAGCCCUAGUGAUCUAAACGAAUGUUAUAGAGUUCGUUAAACAGAGAGUGUGCAUAAAAAGAAUGCCCAAAUCUGACUUCGUAUGAGGAAGUUAUGAUUUUUCUAAGUUUUAGCUUAGCAGUAUGCAGCCCGAAACUUGAAUUCGAGAUCGAGAGAUUGUUGGUCGAGACAAUCUAAACGAGAAUCGAAGAUCUCAUUGAUAGUAGUGCAUUGGUGAAAAGAUAGACGAUAACGGACGUCAAAUGAAAAAGUUAUGAAUUUAUAACGGAGUUUUCCUGUCCGGACCUACUAAAAUAAUAUAAUAAAAAUAAAAGUCAAAAUUAGCCGACGAAGUCUAAACGAAAGUUGUAGAGCGUAGUCUCACCUACGCGUGGAUAUAAAGAACAUCGAAAACGAAUUUCGUAUGAGGCAGAUAUGAAUUUUUGAAGUUUAUUGAAUAAUUAAAGUAUUUAAUUUAAAUAUAAAUUCGGAUAUUAUCUGAAGGAGGGGAGGAGUCAUCGAUCCGAUCCGAACUACGACCAGCGUACCCCGAUGCAUGAACCACUCGAGUGUUCCGCGUUCAUAAGAGAUGACGACUUCGGUCUGAUCCGAACUACGCCGCGCGUACCAGAGCAUUACGCCCAGCGUAACGCGAGGAAUCAAACCCUAUAAAAGGGCAUGCGAGGCUGCCGAUUUCUUUUGCCAAAAUUCUUUCUUUCUCUCCCCAAGUUUCCUCAUUUUGCGUGCAACUUAUACCCCGAAGCCCCAGUAUUAAUCCCGAGACCCGAAGCAAGUCCUGAAGCCCCGAAGAUCCCGAGAAAAAUAGUUUGCGAGCCGAAGCUCUACCCAUGAGGAGCCCGAUUUUUGUGAAGAUCUUCCAAAUCUACUAAAGAACACUACUUCUACAAGCCGUAGUGUUGUCCGAUCAUCUUCUGAUCAGGUGAGUGUGUGGUCACUUUCUUCGAACACAUAAAUAUGAAGUAUUUUAUUGAAAUACAUGAUAUGUGUUUAUGUAUUGUUGUUUAUUUGAGAUAAGUGUGGAAUGGAUGUUUUAUAUGGUUUUUAAAUGAGUUAAAUUGUAUAUGUAUUUUAUACUACUAAUAUGUUGGGUAGAACAUGAGUAGAUGAGAUAGUUGGUAUGUGAUAAAACGAUGAGGUAAUGAUGAGGUAUGUAAGAUGAUUAAAGAAUAAUAUUGGUAGAUGCACCAAUUAGAGAAUGUCAUAAUACUAGCAGAUGCGCUUAAGAAUAAUAUUGAUAAAUGCACCAAAUAGAGAAUGUCAUAAUACUAGCAGAUGCGCUUAUAUGAUAAUACUAGCAGAUGCGCUUAAAGGAUAAUGUUGGCAGAUGCGCCUUCUGUAGCAAUGGAAGUUUGUGCUAAUUCCUUAGGUCAAUCCUUAGGAAUAAAUGAAGGAAGGAUAGUUGAUUAAUAGGGUAAAACCUUGAGAAAUAAAGAAGAUAAUGGGGACGGGUAAUUGGGUUGAUUGUUUGAUGAUUAAAUAUAAUAAUUAUAUUAUUGUGGGUCGAAAACCCUAUAUGCUCACCAGGCUCCCAAGCCUGACCCACUCAGUUUUCUUUGCAUUACAGGUAAUGGCACAAGAGUAUAAGUUGGUGGACUUGACGAGAGAUUUUGUAUUAUAGAUCAGUAGUUAUAAAUGACUGUUGUAAGGUCUAUUUUUACUGUUUGUGCUUUUGGUCUGUAUCAGAACAUGACAUCCCGAGCUUUUGUUAUUUAAUGAAAAUACAUUUCUUUAAAUAAAUGCUUCGAUAAAUUUUUAUCACAUUUUGUUUUGGGAACAAAUUCCGCAACUAUUUUCUUUAAAAGAUUACUCUGAUUUUAAAAACAAGCAUAAACAAAUCGGUCUUUUUUUGCCGUGAAAUUGGGGAUGUCACAGUUUGUUUAACUGUGAAUGUGAGGUGAGUCUUCUCACUAUACUAUAUGGGGUGGCAAGUGUAUAAAAGACCAUGGGGGUAGCCUAUGGCAAUUGUAUGAAAGACCAUGGGGGUAGCCCAUGACACUUGUAUGUAAGACCUGGAUUUUCCCCUCGACAUUGCAAGGAAAGACCAUGGGGAUAGCCUAUGACACUUGGAUGUAAAACCAUGGGGGUAGCCCAUGGCAUUUCAGGGAAAGACCAUGGGGGUAAUCCGUGGAAAAUGUAUGUAUUGUAUGUGGUAUUUUGGGGAACUCACUAAGAUUUAUGCUUACAGUUUAUGUUUCAAAUGUUUCAGGUAUUUCUGGUUCCAAUGAGAAGGGCCUGACAUUAUUGCAUUGCAUCCACUGGAGAUUCCACAUUUAUGAUUUUGUUAUUACCCUGAUGUUAUUUUGAUACAAUUUUCGAUACUCUUACUAUCUUUCGAAAGUAAUGAGUGAAUGGUUUGUGUAUUUUAAAAACAAAAAUUUACUUAGUAUUUUUGGGAUGUUACACUAUAUUUAGGAAUAACAACCUCAGAUAAGCAUUUAUUUUCUUUUUUAUAUAUACUAAAUUUAUGGUAAACGAUUGCGCCCUAAUCAAGUACAAUCAUAAAGAUACCAUCUAUAUCCUACAUAACUUAGGAGGGCUUUGUUGAUUUUUCUCAAGAAGUGCCUUUCUAUGCUAAAUGCUACUUCAUUGUUGAAUUUUUAGGUCCUAGGUGUAAGUAGUUUACCUUAAAACUACAAAUUACUGAAGAUCCUUUCACAAUCGAAUGACACCUUGAAAAAUAAAGGCUAAUAUAAGGCGGUUAUUCCUAAAUAGAGCUCCAUUAUACGCACUGUGUGGCCUAGAUAUGAAUUUCUUACAACAAAUCAACAAAAGCUCUAUUAAUUGUAUUUAGCAUGUAUUUUUAUAACUAUACUUGCUAUUGUAUUAGUGUAACAACUAUAGUGAUUAUAAAAACACAUGCUAAAUACAAUUAAUAGGAUUCAUGUUGAUUUGAUGUAAGGAAAGCAUUUCUAGGCCACAUAUAUCAUAGGCCUCUAUUUAGAAAUUGUAUUUAGAUGGUAUCUUUAUGAUUAUGGUAAUGAUAUUUAUUAAAAAGAAUCAUGAAAGAUACCAAAAAUGAUAUAUAAAAUUAUAAAUUAUCAGUAUUAUGUUUUUUAAUAAAAAUGUGAGUUUUUAGUGAAAGGGAGGUAGAUGGUGUUGUUAUUUUAUGUGUUAAUUAAUCAGACGAUACUUGCAAGACUCAAAACAAAUCCGAUGCCACUUGCCAAGUUUUGAUGACCCGUUUUAGGAAGUAAUGUUGAUAAUAUAAACACACAAAACCGAAAUCACACAAAGACAUAACAUUUAUAAGGUUCGGUCAAGGUGACCUACGUCCAUGGGUAGGAGGGGAGUAUUCUUUAUUCAUGGAGUUAUCAAACAGAGAUUAUAAGUACAACUCAAUAUAGAUUUGUCCUAAUCGCUAAGGAUAUAAGACACACCCAAAUGGAUAACAUGCAUCUUUAUUUAUAGUGAAUGGAUUAGACCUAAAAUCCUAAUGGUACAGGCCCAUUGGCCCAUAGGCCCAUGAAUGGUGUCAACCAAUCGCGGUUUGCUAUGUAGUAGCUUCUAGAACAUCCAUCCUUGAUUUCCAUUGCAUGAUCAUCAGCAACACACAUGAUGGAGCAUCAUGAUCCAUAGUGGCUCAUCAUGAUGCAAGAGUGUCAAAUCAAGAUCACCAUGGAUCAUCAAUCAUCAUUAGGGAACAUCAAGCAAUAAUUCUAAAGCAUCUUCAACAUCUAGGUAGCCUUAAACAAUCUUGAGCAUCAUAGAGGACUCUAUAGCAUGUCUAUCUCAUCAAGGGAUACCAUUUCUCAUCAGGAACAUAUAUAGCACGCCAUGAACAUGUGUGGCACAUCAAGCCACCUAAUGGUGCAUCAUGAUGCACAAGUGGUGCAUCAUGAUCAUUAGUAGCACAUCCAUGCUUCAACAACACAUCAAAACUUUAGAGUACUCAUGGCACACUAGAUUGGUACACCUUUUACCAAGUUAGCGUACCAUGUGCAUGAAUGGCGCACCUUGUGCCUAAGGUGGCGCAUCUUCCUUAAUUAUGGCACAUCUAGCUUCAAGGUCACACAUCCUCCUACAAAAGUGGUGAAUAUCCUUCUCAUGUUCACACCUUGCUACCGAAUGGAGAACCAUACUAUCUAAUGGUGCACCAUGCCUCCUAAGUGUUGCAUUUAUGCCUAGAUUGAUGCAUCUUGAGCAUAAUGAUGGGUUUUGAGCAUUCUAACACUUCCUAAGUGUACAUGCAACCCUAAUAACCUUGGAUCUAUGUUUGUCUAAAUACAUGCAAAAUUUGGUUUCCAAGGUUCAUAAUCCUAUCUAGCAUACAUGGGGAACUUUAAUCCUAAAAGGAUGGCUAGAAUUACAUACCUUGUAGUUGAUUUUGAUUCCUUGAAACCUUGUGAGCCUAGCACCCCAAGUGUGAUGCCUCAAAUGCUUCACACAACACCAAAUGCUUUUGGAACGACUUUAGAGAGAAUGCACACACUCUAAAAUCGGCCUAGCCCUCACUUGUUCUAGUGUAGCAGAUUUUGGUGGAUAGUAUGUUCCUUAUAUAGUGUUGACACAUCUAGGGUUACACCAUGUAAACCCUAAUGUGUCAAGGCUCUUCAUUUCCAUGACCCAUGGGUUUGUAACUCCCAUGGAGCAUCCUAUGGGUUUAACCCAACUUGAUAAUCCAUGGAGCCUCUUAGCCUACUAUACAAAUUAUGGAUGAUUUACAUAAUCAACCCAUAUAUUUAAUUAGUUAUCUUUUGAUCACUUAAUUAAUUCCAAAUUAAUUCUUGAUCAUACUAAUUAAAUAAUACUAUUAAUAUAUUAGAACUUAUAAUAUAUUAAUAAACCACAAGUGUUAUUUCUCUCAUUUAGUCUAUCCAAAUGCAUGGUGCCAUGCAACCCAAAUGGGCCAUGUCGGGUCGGGUCAAGUACAUACCAGAAAUAGUUAUGGACUUAGACACCUUAUCCAACAGUCUCCCACUUGGAUAAGUCUAAUAAGUAUAACUGCAAGUAUGACUUCAGGAACCGAUCAGAAAUCGUAGCUCUUUCAAGGUCUCUUGGAACUGAGAAGAUGAUGAUACGCCAUUUAAGAUAAGUGAUCAUAUAAUCCUCUGUUCUAGAUAUCAGCCGAAAAAAUACAUGGAACAAUGUCUUACUUAUUGUCCAGCAGUGUGUUUCCCGAUUUCCAAUUUGUUUGACAAAUAACUUAAUUGAACACAUCAACUUAGUUCUGACCGGGCCUGGUACAUAGGUUAAAACAAAAUCAUCGAGGGGCCCAUAUAUCAGCUUCUAAUCCAAUAAGGAACAGAUAAACUACGAGUCAUAUGUUUGCUCUACUACUUGUUGUAUCAUACACAAAAGCACAUUUUAUAACAUCGAGUUACCAAUGCGUUUUCGUACAAUCAAUGCAUAAACAAAACAUAAGUAACAANNNNNNNNNNNNNNNNNNNNNNNNNNNNNNNNNNNNNNNNNNNNNNNNNNNNNNNNNNNNNNNNNNNNNNNNNNNNNNNNNNNNNNNNNNNNNNNNNNNNNNNNNNNNNNNNNNNNNNNNNNNNNNNNNNNNNNNNNNNNNNNNNNNNNNNNNNNNNNNNNNNNNNNNNNNNNNNNNNNNNNNNNNNNNNNNNNNNNNNNNNNNNNNNNNNNNNNNNNNNNNNNNNNNNNNNNNNNNNNNNNNNNNNNNNNNNNNNNNNNNNNNNNNNNNNNNNNNNNNNNNNNNNNNNNNNNNNNNNNNNNNNNNNNNNNNNNNNNNNNNNNNNNNNNNNNNNNNNNNNNNNNNNNNNNNNNNNNNNAGGUUAUCUAACUUCUAAAUCUAAUAUCAUCCUUCAGCCCUAUGCUCCGAGCAUGUUGGAGAUGCUUAACCCGAGUCAGUCCCUUCGUGAGGGGAUCUGCUGGAUUCUCAUCCGAUGAUACCCUCUUUGCCAC
RNAcentral lists this long non-coding RNA (13858 nucleotides) under Lactuca sativa (garden lettuce). RNAcentral's name for it is "long non-coding RNA (LSAT_LNC002831)". Lineage: Eukaryota; Viridiplantae; Streptophyta; Magnoliopsida; Asterales; Asteraceae. The record is from RNAcentral.